RNAcentral lists this ribosomal RNA (1492 nucleotides) under Lacticaseibacillus paracasei. Its description in RNAcentral is "bacterial SSU rRNA". It matches the Rfam family "Bacterial small subunit ribosomal RNA". Lineage: Bacteria; Bacillati; Bacillota; Bacilli; Lactobacillales; Lactobacillaceae. The record is from RNAcentral.
GAUGAACGCUGGCGGCGUGCCUAAUACAUGCAAGUCGAACGAGUUCUCGUUGAUGAUCGGUGCUUGCACCGAGAUUCAACAUGGAACGAGUGGCGGACGGGUGAGUAACACGUGGGUAACCUGCCCUUAAGUGGGGGAUAACAUUUGGAAACAGAUGCUAAUACCGCAUAGAUCCAAGAACCGCAUGGUUCUUGGCUGAAAGAUGGCGUAAGCUAUCGCUUUUGGAUGGACCCGCGGCGUAUUAGCUAGUUGGUGAGGUAAUGGCUCACCAAGGCGAUGAUACGUAGCCGAACUGGGAGGUUGAUCGGCCACAUUGGGACUGAGACACGGCCCAAACUCCUACGGGAGGCAGCAGUAGGGAAUCUUCCACAAUGGACGCAAGUCUGAUGGAGCAACGCCGCGUGAGUGAAGAAGGCUUUCGGGUCGUAAAACUCUGUUGUUGGAGAAGAAUGGUCGGCAGAGUAACUGUUGUCGGCGUGACGGUAUCCAACCAGAAAGCCACGGCUAACUACGUGCCAGCAGCCGCGGUAAUACGUAGGUGGCAAGCGUUAUCCGGAUUUAUUGGGCGUAAAGCGAGCGCAGGCGGUUUUUUAAGUCUGAUGUGAAAGCCCUCGGCUUAACCGAGGAAGCGCAUCGGAAACUGGGAAACUUGAGUGCAGAAGAGGACAGUGGAACUCCAUGUGUAGCGGUGAAAUGCGUAGAUAUAUGGAAGAACACCAGUGGCGAAGGCGGCUGUCUGGUCUGUAACUGACGCUGAGGCUCGAAAGCAUGGGUAGCGAACAGGAUUAGAUACCCUGGUAGUCCAUGCCGUAAACGAUGAAUGCUAGGUGUUGGAGGGUUUCCGCCCUUCAGUGCCGCAGCUAACGCAUUAAGCAUUCCGCCUGGGGAGUACGACCGCAAGGUUGAAACUCAAAGGAAUUGACGGGGGCCCGCACAAGCGGUGGAGCAUGUGGUUUAAUUCGAAGCAACGCGAAGAACCUUACCAGGUCUUGACAUCUUUUGAUCACCUGAGAGAUCAGGUUUCCCCUUCGGGGGCAAAAUGACAGGUGGUGCAUGGUUGUCGUCAGCUCGUGUCGUGAGAUGUUGGGUUAAGUCCCGCAACGAGCGCAACCCUUAUGACUAGUUGCCAGCAUUUAGUUGGGCACUCUAGUAAGACUGCCGGUGACAAACCGGAGGAAGGUGGGGAUGACGUCAAAUCAUCAUGCCCCUUAUGACCUGGGCUACACACGUGCUACAAUGGAUGGUACAACGAGUUGCGAGACCGCGAGGUCAAGCUAAUCUCUUAAAGCCAUUCUCAGUUCGGACUGUAGGCUGCAACUCGCCUACACGAAGUCGGAAUCGCUAGUAAUCGCGGAUCAGCACGCCGCGGUGAAUACGUUCCCGGGCCUUGUACACACCGCCCGUCACACCAUGAGAGUUUGUAACACCCGAAGCCGGUGGCGUAACCCUUUUAGGGAGCGAGCCGUCUAAGGUGGGACAAAUGAUUAGGGUG